GGAGUCUGGGCCGUGUCUCAGUCCCAAUGUGGCCGUUCAACCUCUCAGUCCGGCUACUGAUCGUCGACUUGGUGAGCCGUUACCUCACCAACUAUCUAAUCAGACGCGAGCCCAUCUCUGAGUGAUGAAUCUUUGAUAACAAAGUCAUGCGGCUUCGUUAUGUUAUGAGGUAUUACCAUCCGUUUCCAGAAGCUAUCCCUCUCUCAGAGGCAGGUUGCUCACGUGUUACUCACCCGUCCGCCACUAAGAACUCUCAGUAAACCAAAAGUUCUCCGUUCGACUUGCAUGUGUUAAGCGUGCCGCCAGCGUUCGUCCUCGAGCCACGGAUCAAACUCU
RNAcentral lists this ribosomal RNA (336 nucleotides) under Ruminococcus flavefaciens. RNAcentral describes it as "partial 16S ribosomal RNA". The record is from RNAcentral. Lineage: Bacteria; Bacillati; Bacillota; Clostridia; Eubacteriales; Oscillospiraceae.